This is a long non-coding RNA of Pseudoliparis swirei, 1280 nucleotides long. RefSeq lists it as uncharacterized. The transcript has 5 exons. The record is from RefSeq and is a predicted model, not a curated record. Lineage: Eukaryota; Metazoa; Chordata; Actinopteri; Perciformes; Liparidae.
UUUAUAAAGCAGCGAGAUGUCGUUUUGGGUGCCGUUACAUGACCACAGGACAGCUGAACUUUCAACAUUACAACAUUGUAAAUCUGCAUUUUUUGCCUGGAUGAUUACGUGAAAUUCUGCCGUGGAAUGCAGUAAUUCUUUAAUCUGAUUAAUUUGUGUUACACUCGCCGUAUCACACAGAGCUCUCUCCUGUCUCUGCUGCCUCAAAGCCCUUCUGACUCCCUUUUCUUUUCUAGAAAUCCCUGUGCUCAAAUAAAACACUCACAAAAGGCAAAUGAAGCGACUAGAGGUAUUUUAGUUCACAGAAAAUGACUUAUUUGGGGUGUGGGGGAGAAUACCUAAAGCCUGAGCCCUAAUGCUGAUGAGACAGAAUACUUUUCUCGCGGAGACGGCGCCGACAUCUCCAAAUGUGGGGCGUGAACGCGCACGGCUGAGCUGGAGCUGUCGAGCACGAUGUCAUCCGUCCACGGGGGGAUGAGGUGCUGCUUCCCCUCACAAACAUGCAGGAGGAAUUCACAGAAUAUAACUUAAAACAGAUCCACGCCUCCUGCAGAGAUAAUAAUCCCCUGUCUGGAUCCAGCAUACAAGCGGGGUACCUCUGCGUGGAGCCUGCAGAAGCUGGUUUAGGAAGUUCUUGGUGGGAAGGCUGCGCAGUGAAAAAGCACGACAUGUCGCCAUAGAGGCAGCGGAGAUGUUCUGAAAGAAACCUCUUUGCAUCACCCAACAUCCAGAGUCUCACACGAAGGAGAUGAACACUGAACAAUCAUGUUGCAAAUCAGUGAAAUCCACUCAAAUUGAAAAUUUAAUAAUUCUGUGUGGGAGUUUAAUUCAAUUCAGUUUGUUUUAUACCGCCCAAAAUUACAAUUAAAAUGUAGGGCAGUGACAGCCUAACGGGGCAGGAAGUGGGCAUUUUACAUCCCUGUCCCAAUAGUGUGGCAGAUGGUUUGAUCCGAUCACAAGAUGGUUUCUAGUCUAUUAGUUUAUUUUUUAUUAUAAACUCAUAUUUGAUCCUCUGUUCACUUAGUGUUUGGUCAUUUGAAUUAUUAUCUUCAUAAUGUGUAGAUGUAUGGCUACAGGCUUGUUCAUAUUAAGGUUUUUUAUUGAGACUCACAUUGUACAUUUCAAGAAACUCUUCUUCGAGUUUGGAUAAAGUUACAGUCUUGUCUUGGAAAAUAUUGAUAAUCAGUCUUCUGUUUUCUUGAUAGAAUAUCAAGGUCUGAAAGGUUGUUUACUCAGAUGCAGCACAUAUUAUCCAUCUGGUGCAGUUGCAUAAAUACACU